RNAcentral lists this ribosomal RNA (1386 nucleotides) under metagenome. Its description in RNAcentral is "bacterial SSU rRNA". It matches the Rfam family "Bacterial small subunit ribosomal RNA". The record is from RNAcentral.
AGAGUUUGAUCCUGGCUCAGGAUGAACGCUGGCGGCGUGCUUAACACAUGCAAGUCGAACGAACCUUCGGGUUAGUGGCGGACGGGUGAGUAACGCGUGGGAAUCUGCCCUCAGGAGGGGGAUAACGGCUGGAAACGGCCGCUAAUACCCCCAUAUGCCGAGAGGUGAAAAGAAAUUCGCCUGAGGAUGAGCCCGCGUCUGAUUAGCUAGUUGGUGGGGUAAGAGCUCACCAAGGCGACGAUCAGUAGCUGGUCUGAGAGGAUGAUCAGCCACACUGGGACUGAGACACGGCCCAGACUCCUACGGGAGGCAGCAGUGGGGAAUUUUCCGCAAUGGGCGAAAGCCUGACGGAGCAACGCCGCGUGAGGGAUGAAGGCCUCUGGGCUGUAAACCUCUUUUCUCAAGGAAGAAGACAUGACGGUACUUGAGGAAUAAGCCACGGCUAAUUCCGUGCCAGCAGCCGCGGUAAUACGGGAGUGGCAAGCGUUAUCCGGAAUUAUUGGGCGUAAAGCGUCCGCAGGCGGCCCUGUAAGUCUGUCGUUAAAGCGUGGAGCUUAACUCCAUUUAAGCGAUGGAAACUACAGGGCUUGAGUGUGGUAGGGGCAGAGGGAAUUCCCGGUGUAGCGGUGAAAUGCGUAGAUAUCGGGAAGAACACCAGUGGCGAAGGCGCUCUGCUGGGCCAUAACUGACGCUCAUGGACGAAAGCCAGGGGAGCGAAAGGGAUUAGAUACCCCUGUAGUCCUGGCCGUAAACGAUGAACACUAGGUGUCGGGGGAAUCGACCCCCUCGGUGUCGUAGCCAACGCGUUAAGUGUUCCGCCUGGGGAGUACGCACGCAAGUGUGAAACUCAAAGGAAUUGACGGGGGCCCGCACAAGCGGUGGAGUAUGUGGUUUAAUUCGAUGCAACGCGAAGAACCUUACCAGGGUUUGACAUCCUGCGAAUCCCUUGGAAACGAGGGAGUGCCUUCGGGAGCGCAGAGACAGGUGGUGCAUGGCUGUCGUCAGCUCGUGUCGUGAGAUGUUGGGUUAAGUCCCGCAACGAGCGCAACCCACGUCUUUAGUUGCCAGCAUUCAGUUGGGCACUCUAGAGAGACCGCCGGUGAUAAACCGGAGGAAGGUGUGGAUGACGUCAAGUCAUCAUGCCCCUUACAUCCUGGGCUACACACGUACUACAAUGCUACGGACAAAGGGCAGCAAGCUCGCGAGAGUUAGCAAAUCCCAUAAACCGUGGCUCAGUUCAGAUCGUAGGCUGCAACUCGCCUACGUGAAGGAGGAAUCGCUAGUAAUCGCAGGUCAGCAUACUGCGGUGAAUACGUUCCCGGGCCUUGUACACACCGCCCGUCACACCAUGGAAGUUGGCCAUGCCCGAAGUCGUUACUCCAACAC